Molecule: transfer RNA, 77 nt
Filed under: Alphaproteobacteria bacterium
Lineage: Bacteria; Pseudomonadati; Pseudomonadota; Alphaproteobacteria
Description: tRNA-Val
Rfam family: tRNA
About the family: Transfer RNA (tRNA) molecules are approximately 80 nucleotides in length. Their secondary structure includes four short double-helical elements and three loops (D, anti-codon, and T loops).
Source: RNAcentral
GGGUGGUUAGCUCAGAUGGUUAGAGCGCUACGUUGACAUCGUAGAGGUCGUUGGUUCGAUCCCAAUACCACCCACCA